CAUUACAUGGUAUAGUUUCUGAAUAUGGAAUUUGCCUAGCCUGCACAAUCCAGACAGUCUAAGUAACAGAUCACCUUGCAGUUGUUGAUUAUCCAUUACAGGAGUUCUGCAAUCUAAUAUCUUCCUGACUACACAAGAUGCUGCCUUGGGAAUGGGCAUUGUAGCAAUGUCACGGUGUUUAAUGUAAUAGUAGUGUAUCCAUUUGAUCCACAAACAAUCUUUCU
RNAcentral lists this long non-coding RNA (224 nucleotides) under Nicotiana benthamiana. Its description in RNAcentral is "long non-coding RNA (NBEN_LNC005053)". Lineage: Eukaryota; Viridiplantae; Streptophyta; Magnoliopsida; Solanales; Solanaceae. The record is from RNAcentral.